This 882-nucleotide ribosomal RNA is filed under the name Sutcliffiella cohnii. RNAcentral's name for it is "bacterial SSU rRNA". It matches the Rfam family "Bacterial small subunit ribosomal RNA", at positions 1 to 865 of the family's 1533-position model. Lineage: Bacteria; Bacillati; Bacillota; Bacilli; Caryophanales; Bacillaceae. The record is from RNAcentral.
UUUUUAGGGUUUUAUUUCUGCUCAGGACGAACGCGGGCGGCGUGCCUAAUACAUGCAAGUCGAGCGAACUUCUUUAGAGCUUGCUUUAAAGAAGUUAGCGGCGGACGGGUGAGUAACACGUGGGCAACCUGCCUGUAAGACUGGGAUAACUUCGGGAAACCGGAGUUAAUACCGGAUAAUAUAUAGUCCCUCCUGGUACUAUAUUGAAAGUUGCUUUCGGCUAUCACUUACAGAUGGGCCCGCGGCGCAUUAGCUAGUUGGUGAGGUAACGGCUCACCAAGGCAACGAUGCGUAGCCGACCUGAGAGGGUGAUCGGCCACACUGGGACUGAGACACGGCCCAGACUCCUACGGGAGGCAGCAGUAGGGAAUCUUCCACAAUGGACGAAAGUCUGAUGGAGCAACGCCGCGUGAGCGAUGAAGGCCUUCGGGUCGUAAAGCUCUGUUGUUAGGGAAGAACAAGUGCGAGAGUAACUGCUCGCACCUUGACGGUACCUAACCAGAAAGCCACGGCUAACUACGUGCCAGCAGCCGCGGUAAUACGUAGGUGGCAAGCGUUGUCCGGAAUUAUUGGGCGUAAAGCGCGCGCAGGCGGUUUCUUAAGUCUGAUGUGAAAGCCCACGGCUCAACCGUGGAGGGUCAUUGGAAACUGGGAGACUUGAGUGCAGAAGAGGAGAGUGGAAUUCCACGUGUAGCGGUGAAAUGCGUAGAGAUGUGGAGGAACACCAGUGGCGAAGGCGACUCUCUGGUCUGUAACUGACGCUGAGGCGCGAAAGCGUGGGGAGCAAACAGGAUUAGAUACCCUGGUAGUCCACGCCGUAAACGAUGAGUGCUAAGUGUUAGAGGGUUUCCGCCCUUUAGUGCUGCAGCUAACGCAUUAAGC